This 74-nucleotide transfer RNA is filed under the name Streptococcus pneumoniae. RNAcentral describes it as "tRNA-Asn(gtt)". It matches the Rfam family "tRNA". From Rfam's summary of the family: Transfer RNA (tRNA) molecules are approximately 80 nucleotides in length. Their secondary structure includes four short double-helical elements and three loops (D, anti-codon, and T loops). Further hydrogen bonds mediate the characteristic L-shaped molecular structure. tRNAs have two regions of fundamental functional importance: the anti-codon, which is responsible for specific mRNA codon recognition, and the 3' end, to which the tRNAs corresponding amino acid is attached (by aminoacyl-tRNA synthetases). tRNAs cope with the degeneracy of the genetic code in two manners: having more than one tRNA (with a specific anti-codon) for a particular amino acid; and 'wobble' base-pairing, i.e. permitting non-standard base-pairing at the 3rd anti-codon position. Lineage: Bacteria; Bacillati; Bacillota; Bacilli; Lactobacillales; Streptococcaceae. The record is from RNAcentral.
UCCGCCAUAGCUCAGUUGGUAGUAGCGCAUGACUGUUAAUCAUGAUGUCGUAGGUUCGAGUCCCACUGGCGGAG